UACGGGGGGGGCAAGCGUUGUUCGGAAUUACUGGGCGUAAAGGGCACGUAGGCGGCUUGGCAAGUCAGGAGUGAAAGCCCUGGGCUCAACCCGGGAACUGCUUUUGAAACUGCCGAGCUAGAGUGCGGAAGGGGCAACUGGAAUUCCCAGUGUAGCGGUGAAAUGCGUAGAUAUUGGGAAGAACACCUGAGGCGAAGGCGGGUUGCUGGGCCGACACUGACGCUGAUGCGCGAAAGCCAGGGGAGCGAACGGG
Molecule: ribosomal RNA, 253 nt
Filed under: uncultured bacterium
Lineage: Bacteria
Description: partial 16S ribosomal RNA
Rfam family: Bacterial small subunit ribosomal RNA
Source: RNAcentral